UUUCACUCUCUCAGGCCGGGCUAGCGAUCCGGUUUCCUAUCCUUCAAUGACGGUGGUGGCAGUGCCUCAGAGUCUGUCGCGCUGUGACCUGCGGUGGUCGUGGGAGGCGUAGGAAGGAUUCAGAGAGACCCAGGAAACCUAGAAAUGGACUCAGUGACCUUUGAGGAUGUGGCUGUGAACUUCACCCUGGAGGAGUGGGCUUUACUGGAUCCUUCACAGAAGAAACUCUACAGAGAUGUGAUGCGGGAAACGUUGAGGAACCUGGCUUCAGUAGGAGAAAAAUGGGAAGAUCAUGACAUUGAAGAUCAGUACAAAAACCAGGGGAGAAAACUAAGAAGUCAUGUGUUAGAGAGACUCUGUGAAAGUAAAGAGGGUAGUCAGUGUGGAGAAAACUUCAGCCUUAUUCCAAAUCUCAAUCUGAACAAGAAAACUACUGGAGUGAAACCACGUGAGUGCAGUACAUGUGGAAAAGUCUUUACGCGUCAUUCAUCCCUUAAGAGACACAUGAGCUGUCACAAUGAACAUAAACCAUAUGAGUAUCAGAAACAUGGAGAGAAGCCAUAUAAAUGUAAGGAAUGUGGUAAAGCCUUUAGCUAUUUCCAGUUUUUGGAGGCACAUGAAAAAAAUCACAAUCGAGAGGAAAAAUACAAAUGUAAGGAAUGUGGAAAAGCAUUCCAUUCCCGCGCAUCCUUUCAAACACAUGAAAGGAUUCACACAGGAGAAAAACCCUAUGAAUGUAAGGAAUGUGGGGAAGCUUUCAUGUGGAGCACAGCGUUUCGAAGACACAUGGUAACACACACCAGAGAUGCUCCAUUUACAUGUAAGGAAUGCGGGAAAGCUUUUAAUUGUUCCUCUUCAUUGCGAACACAUGAAACAACUCACAGUGAAGAGAAACCCUAUCAGUGUAAACAAUGUGGAAAAUUCCUUAGAUAUUAUCAUACUUUUCGAACACAUGAAAGGACUCAUACAGGAGAGAAACCCUAUGAAUGUAAGCAGUGUGGUAAAGCCUUCAGUUGUCCCAGUUCUUUUCGAAAACAUGAAAGAAUUCAUACUGGGGAAAAGCCUUAUGAAUGUAAGGAAUGUGGGAGAACCUUUAGAGGUCUCUCAAGCCUUCGCGCACACAUGAUCACUCACACUGGAGAUGGACCUUAUAAAUGUAAGGAAUGUGAGAGAGCCUUCAUUUCUCCUAGUUCUUUUCGAAUACAUCAAAGGAUUCACACUGGAGAGAAACCCUAUGAAUGUAAACAAUGUGGUAAAGCCUUCAGUUAUUACAAUUCCUUACAAUCACACAGAAGAACUCAUACUGGAGAGAAACCCUAUGAAUGCAAGGAAUGUGGGAAGGCCCUCUCCCAUCACCAAACCUUAAAAAUACACAUGAGACUGCACACUGGAGAGAAACCCUAUGAAUGUAAACAAUGUGGUAAAGCCUUCAGAUAUUACCCUUCUUUUCACAAACACAAACAAAUACAUACUGGAGGGAAACCCUUCGAAUGUGAACGAUGUGGUAAAGCCUUCAGUUAUUACAAUUCCUUACAGUCACACGGAAGAACUCAUACUGGAGAGAAACCCUAUGAAUGCAAGGAAUGUGGGAAAGCCCUCUCCCAUCACCAGACCUUAAGAGUACACAUGAGACUGCACACUGGAGAGAAACCCUAUGAAUGUGAACAAUGUGGUAGAGCUUUCAGAUAUUACACUUCCUUCCAAAAGCACAAAAGAGUUCAUACUGAGAAGAAAUUCUAUGAAUAAGGAAUAUGGAAAAGCCUUUAGUUGAUCAACUUCACUUUGAAAACAUGAAAGAAGCCACACUGGAGAGAAAGCCUGUCAGUGUAAACAAGGUGGGAAAGCCUUCAGAUAUUUUCAAAGUUUGAAAACACAUGAAAGGACUCCCAUAGAAGAGAAACCUUGUAAGCAAUGUGGUAAAUCCUGCAGAGAUUACACUUCAUUAGAAACGCGCAAAAGAUAGUGAAGAGAAACCCUGUGACUGUAAGGAAUGUGGAAAAGCCUUCAGAUGUUAUCAGUUUUUUCUGAAGAUGUGAAAAAGAUCAGAGUGGAGGGAAUGUGGUAAACCCUUCAUUUGUCACAAACCAUUUGAAGACACGUGAGAACACACACUGGAGAGACACCAUAUAAAUGUAAAGAAUGUUGGAAAGCCUUGUCAUCCCAGUUCUGAAAGGAUGAAAGGACUCACUGGACAAAAACUCUUGAGUUAAACAGCCUGGGAAAGAUUUCAGUGAGCCCACAUCUUUACAUGUGAAAAAGAAUAUAAAUUGCACCUUUGGACAGUGGAUUUCUAGUAAUUACUCUCAGAAAUGAAUACAAGUCAACGAAUACCUUUGAUGAAGGUGGUGUGUGACAUUUUUCUCUUCACCAGGAAAAGACUUGGCCUUGCAAAGAAUGCAGGACAGUUCCCUGUCCUCUGGAACAGCUUUUGCCUUUCCUACUUGUUAUCCAAACACUGAUGUAUUUCCUACAGUGUAUUAGACACCCCUUACUAUAAAGUUCAAGUGUUUUUUAAUAUCUCAUUUAUGGCUCACCUGAUGUUUGUAAGUUUAUGUAAUUUUUGAGAGAACACAUACCUAGCAAGAGAGAAAGACAGGACCACUGUU
Molecule: RNA transcript, 2606 nt
Organism: Physeter macrocephalus (sperm whale)
Lineage: Eukaryota; Metazoa; Chordata; Mammalia; Artiodactyla; Physeteridae
Gene name: zinc finger protein 791-like
Exons: 6
Source: RefSeq, a predicted model, not a curated record